CACCAUGGGUGCGGCGGGGAGGGCGUCAGGAUUUUAGCGAUGCUUAGGUGGGGCGUGGCCAAAACCAGGCUGGGAGCCACAGCCCUCCGCCCAUAGCUCAGCAGCUGGCGGAUCUGGCGAGAUAAACUGGCUCCCCGCUCUUUAUCACCUUGGCCCCGCCCCUCUGUUGACUGACAGCUUGUUAUGUGUCUUCAUUCCUUGCCUCUCACAGCCUCCGGAGCAGUGGCUCCCAACCUCCGCCGGCUCGGGCGUCCCGGGAGGGCUGGCCACAACGCAGAUGCAGGCUCCGCCCAGAGCUGCUGCCCACGGGGCCGGCGAGCACUUGCUUCUCCAAGGAGUUCCCGGCAUUUCUGAAGCUGCAGGUCCCAGGACGACGCUUUCAGAGCCGCCCCUGGAGGAAGUGAGGUCCGCGCUGCAGAAGGGACCCCUUACAGGCGAAGGCGCACUUUGAGUCAAUGAAUGGGGGGAUGAAAACGAGCCGGAGGACAGUGACUAUAAUGAAGGACAGAGGAAGGGCACUCCCGUUCACCAGACCCCAUCUUGGGCCCGUCACCGACCCGGUGGCGCCCCAGGGAGUCUGGGCUUCGUCCUAACCCCACCCAGCAGCCCACAGGCCCCGCCCCGCAGCCCGCCUCCGCGGCUUUUGUGACGUCACGACCCCAGGGGUCAGGAGAAUGGUUGCUGUGGCAACGUAAACCAAAGGCCCGCGCGCUCUGAGCCUUGGAACCGCGGCGCGGAAGCUUCGGAUCAAGCCCGGUGCGCGAGGCUGGUUGGAACCUUCUCUAGCCCAGGUCCGGUUUUGCAGCAAGCCCUUGUUCCUCUGCAGGAAAGUCCAAGCUCCUGUCGUCUACUAUGGUUUCCAAGGUCAUGGCGAACAUCAAGAACAGCCUGGAAUCCACAGACGAGAGCUCCCCUUCAGUCAUUGAAGAAAAGAAAAAGAAACAUAAGAAAAAAGGCAAAGGUACCUCUGG
Long non-coding RNA from Myotis davidii, 971 nucleotides. RefSeq lists it as uncharacterized. The record is from RefSeq and is a predicted model, not a curated record. NCBI's taxonomy places the organism in Eukaryota, Metazoa, Chordata, Mammalia, Chiroptera, Vespertilionidae. The transcript is spliced from 3 exons.